CAGGUGCACUAUGCCAUUAUCUUUUCCUGUAACUAAAGACUGUUAAUAUGAUAGAAGCACUGAAGUUCACCUGGUCAUAGUGGAGGUCCCCAGAGUAUGUGGUAAUGCAGUGAAGCAUUUAGUUAGUCAGUGAAUUCGAUAUGAGUCUUACAUUACACCUAUUCCUUUCCAAGUGUUUGUCUUUUGACUGUGAAGUUCUGCAUGUGAAGAUUUAGCCCUUCAGUCUGAUCACAGUAAUAUCAGCUGAUGCACAGCUCACCCUCAUCCAUCACCGCAUCUAUGAAGAGAUCCUCUGUGAGGAAAUUAAUUCUCUGACUGGGGAACCCUGAGCAGUGAGCAGAAGAGUGUGAGACAGGAUUCUUGGCCAAAGAGAAGCAUGAUGAGCACAUCCAUCCACAUGGCUUAAUCUGGGGACCAGGACUUACUGCCUGCUGAGGUAACUGCACUGUUAUUGAUGAGCCAAUGUGCUUCUCCCACUGAGACAAAUUUUCCUCUGAGAGUUCCCUAACAGUGUUUUAAAAGUGUUUUCUGAGCUCUAUCAUUACUCCAUUAAGCAAACUUGAUAUGUGACUGGAUAUAUAUCUCACUGUUGCAAACUGACAUACGAAAAAUUCCUUAGAGAUACUGAAGGAUAUUAUGUCCACACAGUCAUAUUAUC
Molecule: non-coding RNA, 658 nt
Organism: Meleagris gallopavo (turkey)
Lineage: Eukaryota; Metazoa; Chordata; Aves; Galliformes; Phasianidae
Source: RefSeq, a predicted model, not a curated record